CACAUGGUGGGGCUAUAAAGUUGCUGGAAACAUGGCUAAGUUUCUAUUUUCUCAAAGUUUCACGAAAAAGUAGCGGCAAGAUUCCCUCUUUUUUUUCGAAAUCCCUCUUUUUAUUGCCACCUAUAUUUAGUUUUCCCCUAUUUCCCUCCUCAUAUCUUAUUAUAUGCACUUCAUACCCCCAAUCAAACCCCUGCCCAAGUAAAAUCUUCUAUAUUUUCAUCUCUCUCUCUCUCUCUCUCCGUGUGUGUAUGUGUCUUCUCCAAAAAAUAAUUUGUUGAUUUAAUACCAUAGAAGAUCAAAUCUACGAUGGCAGACAUCUUAAGACAAGGUAUAUAAUCUACUUUACUUUCAAUAUGUAUUUAGAACAUUACAAAUUUGGAUUUCUCCCGGUGCUAUAUGACGUGUAUGUAUUAGUAUGUUCCUAUUUAUUUUUAAUUUUCCUGUACUGGUAUGAAAUUUCUUAUCUACUCGUCUUUGAUUUUUGAGAGGUUAAUUACUCAUUAUAUCUCUUGGUCUGAAUUCUUGUGGUUGUAGCCAAAGAAGAAUUGGAGUAAGUAUCUCAAUCACUACUUAUUUCUCUAUUUAUUGUUUUAUUAAUAUUUAAUUUAUUAUUAACAUUUAAAAUAUAUGUUUUCUAAUUCAUUUGAUAAAAAAAUAAGUACUAAAAUUACAAUUUUUUUUCUUUUUUUAAGGUACAUAAAGAUGGAAAUAUAUUCAAGAGUGAAGUUAUUAGCACUAGCAUUUGGGGAAGCAACAUACUUUAUUCUUUUGUUAAAAUCAAUAUUCAUGUAUUUCAAUUGGACUUUGN
Molecule: long non-coding RNA, 808 nt
Filed under: Nicotiana tabacum (common tobacco)
Lineage: Eukaryota; Viridiplantae; Streptophyta; Magnoliopsida; Solanales; Solanaceae
Description: long non-coding RNA (NTAB_LNC000955)
Source: RNAcentral